RNAcentral lists this ribosomal RNA (253 nucleotides) under uncultured bacterium. Its description in RNAcentral is "partial 16S ribosomal RNA". It matches the Rfam family "Bacterial small subunit ribosomal RNA", at positions 524 to 776 of the family's 1533-position model. The record is from RNAcentral.
UACGGAGGGGGCUAGCGUUGUUCGGAAUUACUGGGCGUAAAGCGCACGUAGGCGGAUAUUUAAGUCAGGGGUGAAAUCCCGGGGCUCAACCCCGGAACUGCCUUUGAUACUGGGUAUCUGGAGGUCGAGAGAGGCGAGUGGAAUUCCGAGUGUAGGGGUGAAAUUCGUAGAUAUUCGGAGGAACACCAGUGGCGAAGGCGGCUCGCUGGCUCGAUACUGACGCUGAGGUGCGAAAGCGUGGGGAGCAAACAGG